CAGUCGCCGCGGUAAUACGAAGGGUGCAAGCGUUAAUCGGAAUUACUGGGCGUAAAGCGUGCGUAGGCGGUUUGUUAAGUCUGUUGUGAAAUCCCCGGGCUCAACCUGGGAAUGGCAAUGGAUACUGGCAGGCUAGAGUGUGUCAGAGGAUGGUGGAACUCCCGGUGUAGCGGUGAAAUGCGUAGAGAUCGGGAGGAACAUCAGUGGCGAAGGCGGCCAUCUGGGACAACACUGACGCUGAGGCACGAAAGCGUGGGGAGCAAACAGGAUUAGAUACCCCAGUAGUCCCUGUCUCUUAUAA
This 301-nucleotide ribosomal RNA is filed under the name uncultured bacterium. Its description in RNAcentral is "partial 16S ribosomal RNA". It matches the Rfam family "Bacterial small subunit ribosomal RNA", at positions 509 to 809 of the family's 1533-position model. The record is from RNAcentral.